Molecule: ribosomal RNA, 429 nt
Filed under: Gemmatimonadota bacterium
Lineage: Bacteria; Pseudomonadati; Gemmatimonadota
Description: Gemmatimonadetes bacterium partial 16S ribosomal RNA
Rfam family: Bacterial small subunit ribosomal RNA
Source: RNAcentral
UAGGGAAUCUUCGGCAAUGGACGAAAGUCUGACCGAGCAACGCCGCGUGAGUGAAGAAGGUUUUCGGAUCGUAAAACUCUGUUGUUAGAGAAGAACAAGGACGUUAGUAACUGAACGUCCCCUGACGGUAUCUAACCAGAAACCCACGGCUAACUACGUGCCAGCAGCCGCGGUAAUACGUAGGUGGCAAGCGUUGUCCGGAUUUAUUGGGCGUAAAGCGAGCGCAGGCGGUUUCUUAAGUCUGAUGUGAAAGCCCCCGGCUCAACCGGGGAGGGUCAUUAGAAUCUGGGAGACUUGAGUGCAGAAGAGGAGAGUGGAAUUCCAUGUGGAGCGGUGAAAUGCGUAGAUAUAUGGAGGAACACCAGUGGCGAAGGCGGCUCUCUGGUCUGUAACUGACGCUGAGGCUCGAAAGCGUGGGGAGCAAACAGG